RNAcentral lists this ribosomal RNA (497 nucleotides) under uncultured bacterium. Its description in RNAcentral is "partial 16S ribosomal RNA". It matches the Rfam family "Bacterial small subunit ribosomal RNA", at positions 28 to 507 of the family's 1533-position model. The record is from RNAcentral.
GAUGAACGCUGGCGGCGUGCCUAAUACAUGCAAGUCGAGCGAACAGAUGAGGAGCUUGCUCCUCUGACGUUAGCGGCGGACGGGUGAGUAACACGUGGAUAACCUACCUAUAAGACUGGGAUAACUUCGGGAAACCGGAGCUAAUACCGGAUAAUAUAUUGAACCGCAUGGUUCAAUAGUGAAAGACGGUUUUGCUGUCACUUAUAGAUGGAUCCGCGCUGCAUUAGCUAGUUGGUAAGGUAACGGCUUACCAAGGCAACGAUGCGUAGCCGACCUGAGAGGGUGAUCGGCCACACUGGAACUGAGACACGGUCCAGACUCCUACGGGAGGCAGCAGUAGGGAAUCUGCCGCAAUGGGCGAAAGCCUGACGGAGCAACGCCGCGUGAGUGAUGAAGGUCUUCGGAUCGUAAAACUCUGUUAUUAGGGAAGAACAAAUGUGUAAGUAACUAUGCACGUCUUGACGGUACCUAAUCAGAAAGCCACGGCUAACUACGUG